UCCGUAGGUGAACCUGCGGAAGGAUCAUUAUUGAAUAAACCUGAUGUGACUGUUAGCUGGCUUUUCGAAGCAUGUGCUCGUCCAUCAUCUUUAUCUCUCCACCUGUGCACAUUUUGUAGUCUUGGAUACCUCUCGAGGAAACUCGGAUUUGAGGAUCGCCGUGCUGUACAAGUCGGCUUUUCUUUCAUUUCCAAGACUAUGUUUUUAUAUACACCAAAGUAUGUUUAUAGAAUGUCAUCAAUGGGAACUUGUUUCCUAUAAAAUUAUACAACUUUCAGCAACGGAUCUCUUGGCUCUCGCAUCGAUGAAGAACGCAGCGAAAUGCGAUAAGUAAUGUGAAUUGCAGAAUUCAGUGAAUCAUCGAAUCUUUGAACGCACCUUGCGCUCCUUGGUAUUCCGAGGAGCAUGCCUGUUUGAGUGUCAUUAAAUUCUCAACCUUCCAACUUUUAUUAGCUUGGUUAGGCUUGGAUGUGGGGGUUGCGGGCUUCAUCACUGAGGUCGGCUCUCCUUAAAUGCAUUAGUGGAACUUUUGUGGACCAUCUAUUGGUGUGAUAAUUAUCUACGCCGUGGGUGUGAAGCAGCUUUAUGAAGUUCUGCUUCUAACCGUCCAUUGACUUGGACAAUUUUGACAAUUUGACCUCAAAUCAGGUAGGACUACCCGCUGAACUUAAGCAUAUCAAUAAGCGGAGG
This 690-nucleotide ribosomal RNA is filed under the name uncultured Laccaria. Its description in RNAcentral is "eukaryotic LSU rRNA". The stretch from base 270 to 423 matches the Rfam family "5.8S ribosomal RNA". The record is from RNAcentral. Lineage: Eukaryota; Fungi; Basidiomycota; Agaricomycetes; Agaricales; Tricholomataceae.